UCCCUAUGGGGUGCAGCAGGCGCGAAACCUUUACACUGCGCGACAGCGCGAUAGGGGGACUCCGAGUGCGAGGGCAUACAGUCCUCGCUUUUGUACACCGUAAGGUGGUGUACGAAUAAGAACUGGGCAAGACCGGUGCCAGCCGCCGCGGUAAUACCGGCAGUUCAAGUGAUGGCCGCUUUUAUUGGGCCUAAAGCGUUCGUAGCUGGCCAGUCAAGUCUGUCGGGAAAUUCAGUGGCUUAACCACUGGACGUCCGGCGGAAACUGACUGGCUUGGGACCGGGAGAUCCAAGGGGUACGUUCGGGGUAGGAGUGAAAUCCUAUAAUCCUGAACGGACCACCGAUGGCGAAAGCACCUUGGAAGCACGGAUCCGACAGUGAGGAACGAAAGCUGGGGUCUCGAACCGGAUUAGAUACCCGGGUAGUCCCAGCCGUAAACGAUGCUCGCUAGGUAUGGCGCAGGCCAUGAGCCUGCGCUGUGCCGUAGGGAAGCCGUGAAGCGAGCCGCCUGGGAAGUACGUCCGCAAGGAUGAAACUUAAAGGAAUUGGCGGGGGAGCACUACAACCGGAGGAGCCUGCGGUUUAAUUGGAUUCAACGCCGGAA
RNAcentral lists this ribosomal RNA (604 nucleotides) under uncultured archaeon. RNAcentral describes it as "bacterial SSU rRNA". It matches the Rfam family "Archaeal small subunit ribosomal RNA", at positions 319 to 923 of the family's 1478-position model. The record is from RNAcentral.